Molecule: long non-coding RNA, 569 nt
Filed under: Calidris pugnax (ruff)
Lineage: Eukaryota; Metazoa; Chordata; Aves; Charadriiformes; Scolopacidae
Description: lncRNA (ENSCPUG00000005204.1)
Source: RNAcentral
GGGGGGGGGGGACACGGACGGACGGACUGAGCGGCGCCCGUCUUCCGAUUGGGCCGAACCGGCGGACAUUCCUGCCCACUUCAGCCUUUCCGGCUUUCUCAUUGGGCGGCGCCGCGGGGGACGGUGGGCAACCCCGACCCCACCCCGCCUCGGCGGGCCAGUGGGAAAAUGGUUGCUGGGCAGGUUGAAAGGGUUGCUGGCCAAUGGGAAGGCGGCCAGCUGGCGGGCGCGGUGCACGCAGCGCUCUCCCCCCCCCUCCCCGUCCGCUGCUGUGGGUGCCGCGGGCGGAGGGAAGGGCGGAGCGGAGGCUGCCGGGGCCCGGCGGGGGUGGCGCUCGCCUCCGCCUCCUCCUCCUCCUCCCUCCCGGUCGGAGUCCCAGCCCCGCCGAAGGGAGCCCGGCCGGCUGGCUUAGGGAGGGCACGGCUGCGCGAAGGAACGGGGUUGGGGGGGGGCUUUCCUCCGCUCCCAGGUUCACAUCGUCCUACCUCGGUGGAUGGCUUGGCCUCUUGAAUAGCUCAAGACUCUUGGAUGACCACACUUUAUGCAAAAUCUGGAAUCUUCCUGCCUGA